RNAcentral lists this long non-coding RNA (1327 nucleotides) under Neogale vison (American mink). RNAcentral describes it as "Neovison vison (American mink) lncRNA (ENSNVIG00000001657.1)". Lineage: Eukaryota; Metazoa; Chordata; Mammalia; Carnivora; Mustelidae. The record is from RNAcentral.
CCGCUCUCCACCUCACCUGCCUGCGCGGCCCGGAGGCGGGAGGGAGUCUCUCAGAGGCUCCUCCUCCGAGGAUUGGUUCCCGGCCGCUCUGCUUCCGCAUCUCCCGCCAGUACUUUCAAUUUCCCUCCCGCCCUCAACUCCCAGGUCCCGUCCACGUCAGGCCGCGGCUCAGUCCCGGCCUACGGCCAGGUGGAGGCGUCACGGGCGAGCAUAGAGUACUGAGGUAGUGGCCAUCCUGCGGCGCACCGUGGCGGUCCCGCUAAGGCCUCAAGGAACCCGAUUCUGUCGGAAAAGACGCCAGGGCCGGGAGGGCCCGCCCCUGCGGGAGGAGCGCCGCUUCGGCUGGCAAGCUGACCAAUGGGAGGCGACGACGGCGGCACAACGUGGAGCUGCUGCAGAAUGUAAACACAGCCCGGCGCGCUGCGGGCCACGUGUGUCUCCGCGCGCCCCCCGUCGGGUCUGGGACCACCGGGGCCGGCCGCGGCACCCGAGGGCAGCCAUUCUCUGCAAUGCCUGUCUUGCACUUUGCUCCAGCCCGCCGACGGAGGGUUCACUCGCAGCUGGAGAGAUUGGACUGAAGUUGCAGGAGAGAAAGCUGCCCUCUGCUUUCCUGCAUCGGAGCCUCUGGAAGCCCCUGGAAGCCCAGUCCCCCAGAAACCUCCAGCUCUGGCAGGAACAUGGCCCCAGCUGAAGGAAGCUUGGUUUCUCUCUCUCCCUCUUUCUGUCAUUUCUUUUUCCUUCUUUCUUAUUUAGCUUGCAGGUGAGGGGCGAGGCUUGCGGAAGAGGCAUCCAGCCAAGGUUCCCUACUCACUUCCCUGUGAGAUCUCGUUUUGAUAAAGGUGACAGAGUCUGAAAGUUAGUAAAAGUAACCUCAUUUCCCUCUCCAUUUAUGUACUGCUUUUGAACUGGUCACAGCUCAGAACCUAGUUUUGUUUUUCUGCCUUUCUCUCAUGCCCCCUGUAUAGACCCUGCUGGCCCACCAAGGGUUCAUGGUGCAGGGAAUCUUGCCCCUGCCCCGGAGGAAUGACUCUACCAGACCUUCGAGAAGAUCGUGCCAUCGACUGGCCUUGCACAUCACUCUGUCUCUAUGAGUCGAGCCUGACCAAUGAGAGCACAAACCUCAACCUUACCCGUAAUCAGAGAAAUGCAGUGACAUGCCAUUUUUCAACCAUCCAAUAGGCAGGGAGAGAGAGAGAGAUCACUAAUAUUUUAUGCCGGCAAGAGGGUGAGAAAACGAGCGCUCAUACAUUGCUGCUAUAAAUAUGAAUUAUUACAUCUUGGGAAUGCAGCCUACUAUCUAUUAAAAUAAAAAAAUGCAGAGAUUACA